GUUAAUGUAGCUUAAUACUUAAAGCAAGACACUGAAAAUGUCUAGAUGGGCACUAUUACCCCAUAAACA
Molecule: transfer RNA, 69 nt
Filed under: Chiropotes albinasus
Lineage: Eukaryota; Metazoa; Chordata; Mammalia; Primates; Pitheciidae
Description: tRNA-Phe
Rfam family: tRNA
About the family: Transfer RNA (tRNA) molecules are approximately 80 nucleotides in length. Their secondary structure includes four short double-helical elements and three loops (D, anti-codon, and T loops).
Source: RNAcentral